GGGGGCGAAACGGUUUCGACGGGGAUAAAGAAGUUCCGGCUGCAUACCGAGUUCCUGGCUUCUCGUUAAACAGACAGGAUUAAAUAUAAUCGCAGACGAUUAUAACUACGCAGUAGCCGCUUAACGGCUACCGUCCUGCCGGGCAGGGCCUGCGGGCCUGGCGAGGGCGUCAAGAGCAGGAUAGCCCGACCGGAUGUUCCGGGUACGGUCUGGCGAAACCCUACCGGAAUAGCCCAAACGACAUCCCGCCCGAAGGAGAUCGUGUGGGCGAACCUCAAAAUUCGGGAUAUGUAUGUAGACGCCUGGACGGAAUGUUUUCGGACGCGGGUUCGAUUCCCGCCGCCUCCACCA
This 351-nucleotide transfer-messenger RNA is filed under the name Desulfatirhabdium butyrativorans. It matches the Rfam family "transfer-messenger RNA". Rfam says of the family: Bacterial tmRNA, also known as 10Sa RNA or SsrA, is named for its dual tRNA and mRNA-like properties. Its role is to liberate the mRNA from a stalled ribosome. Lineage: Bacteria; Pseudomonadati; Thermodesulfobacteriota; Desulfobacteria; Desulfobacterales; Desulfatirhabdiaceae. The record is from RNAcentral. RNAcentral also lists the same sequence under 1 other name.